Molecule: transfer RNA, 76 nt
Filed under: bacterium
Lineage: Bacteria
Description: tRNA-Thr
Rfam family: tRNA
About the family: Transfer RNA (tRNA) molecules are approximately 80 nucleotides in length. Their secondary structure includes four short double-helical elements and three loops (D, anti-codon, and T loops). Further hydrogen bonds mediate the characteristic L-shaped molecular structure. tRNAs have two regions of fundamental functional importance: the anti-codon, which is responsible for specific mRNA codon recognition, and the 3' end, to which the tRNAs corresponding amino acid is attached (by aminoacyl-tRNA synthetases). tRNAs cope with the degeneracy of the genetic code in two manners: having more than one tRNA (with a specific anti-codon) for a particular amino acid; and 'wobble' base-pairing, i.e. permitting non-standard base-pairing at the 3rd anti-codon position.
Source: RNAcentral
GCCCACGUAGCUCAAUCGGUAGAGCAACGGUAUCGUAAACCGUAGGUUGUCGGUUCAACUCCGACCGUGGGCUCCA